This 478-nucleotide ribosomal RNA is filed under the name uncultured bacterium. RNAcentral describes it as "partial 16S ribosomal RNA". It matches the Rfam family "Bacterial small subunit ribosomal RNA", at positions 28 to 507 of the family's 1533-position model. The record is from RNAcentral.
GAUGAACGCUGGCGGCGUGCUUAACACAUGCAAGUCGAACGGGAAAUCUUUCAUUGAGACUUCGGUGGAUUUGAUUUAUUUCUAGUGGCGGACGGGUGAGUAACGCGUGGGUAACCUGCCUUAUACAGGGGGAUAACAGUCAGAAAUGGCUGCUAAUACCGCAUAAGCGCACAGAGCUGCAUGGCUCAGUGUGAAAAACUCCGGUGGUAUAAGAUGGACCCGCGUUGGAUUAGCUAGUUGGUGGGGUAACGGCCCACCAAGGCGACGAUCCAUAGCCGGCCUGAGAGGGUGAACGGCCACAUUGGGACUGAGACACGGCCCAGACUCCUACGGGAGGCAGCAGUGGGGAAUAGUGCACAAUGGGGGAAACCCUGAUGCAGCGACGCCGCGUGGAGGAAGAAGUAUCUCGGUAUGUAAACUUCUAUCAGCAGGGAAGAUAGUGACGGUACCUGACUAAGAAGCCCCGGCUAACUACGUG